Ribosomal RNA from Ochotona princeps (American pika), 31 nucleotides. The record is from Ensembl. Lineage: Eukaryota; Metazoa; Chordata; Mammalia; Lagomorpha; Ochotonidae.
GCGCCCGAUCUCGUCUGAUCUCGGAAGGAAA